Molecule: ribosomal RNA, 253 nt
Filed under: uncultured bacterium
Lineage: Bacteria
Description: partial 16S ribosomal RNA
Rfam family: Bacterial small subunit ribosomal RNA
Source: RNAcentral
UACGUAGGUGGCAAGCGUUGUCCGGAAUUAUUGGGCGUAAAGCGCGCGCAGGCGGUCCUUUAAGUCUGAUGUGAAAGCCCACGGCUCAACCGUGGAGGGUCAUUGGAAACUGGGGGACUUGAGUGCAGGAGAGAAGAGUGGAAUUCCACGUGUAGCGGUGAAAUGCGUAGAGAUGUGGAGGAACACCAGUGGCGAAGGCGACUCUUUGGUCUGUAACUGACGCCGAGGCGCGAAAGCGUGGGGAGCAAACAGG